GCAAGUCGAGCGCUUUCCUUCGGGAAGGAGCGGCGGACGGGUUAGUAACGCGUGGGAACAUACCCUAUUCUAUGGAAUAGCCUUUGGAAACGAAGAGUAAUACCAUAUACGCCCUUCGGGGGAAAGAUUUAUCGGAGAAGGAUUGGCCCGCGUUAGAUUAGAUAGUUGGUGGGGUAAUGGCCUACCAAGGCGACGAUCUGUAGCUGGUCUGAGAGGACGAUC
This 222-nucleotide ribosomal RNA is filed under the name uncultured bacterium. RNAcentral's name for it is "partial 16S ribosomal RNA". It matches the Rfam family "Bacterial small subunit ribosomal RNA", at positions 57 to 305 of the family's 1533-position model. The record is from RNAcentral.